UUUGAUCCUGGCUCAAAACGAACGCUGGCGGCGUGGAUAAGACAUGCAAGUCGAACGGGGUUGUUUGUGUAGCAAUACAUCGACAACCUAGUGGCGAACGGGUGCGUAACACGUGAGCAAUCUGCCGGGAAGUGGGGGAUAGCUCGCCGAAAGGCUAAUUAAUACCGCAUGUGGCCAGAGGGGACAUCCCUUCGACGCCAAAGUCGCAAGACGCUUCCUGAUGAGCUCGCGGCCUAUCAGCUUGUUGGUGAGGUAAUGGCUCACCAAGGCUAUGACGGGUAGCUGGUCUGAGCAGGACGACCAGCCACACUGGAACUGAGACCACGGUCCAGAUACCUACGGGUGGCAGCAGUCGAGAAUUUUUCACAAUGGGGGCAACCCUGAUGGAGCGACGCCGCGUGGAGGAUGAAGGUCUUCGGAUUGUAAACUCCUGUCAUGCGAGAACGAGAAAGUGAUAGUAUCGCAAGAGGAAGAGACGGCUAACUCUGUGCCAGCAGCCGCGGUAAUACAGAGGUCUCAAGCGUUGUUCGGAUUCAUUGGGCGUAAAGGGUGCGUAGGCGGCGUGGUACGUUGAGUGUGAAAUCCUAGGGCUUAACCUUAGAACAGCACUCAAUACUGCCAUGCUUGAGGAAUGUAGAGGAGAGUGGAAUUCACGGUGUAGCAGUGAAAUGCGUAGAUGUCGUGAGGAAGACCAGUUGCGAAGGCGACUCUCUGGGCAUCUCCUGACGCUGAGGCACGAAGGCUAGGGGAGCAAACGGGAUUAGAUACCACGGUAGUCCGAGCAGUAAACGGUGCACGUUUGGUGUGGGCGGGUUCAGACCCCGUCCGUGCCGGAGCUAACGCGUUAAACGUGCCGCCUGGGAAGUACGGUCGCAAGAUUAAAACUCAAAG
Molecule: ribosomal RNA, 891 nt
Filed under: uncultured Verrucomicrobiota bacterium
Lineage: Bacteria; Pseudomonadati; Verrucomicrobiota
Description: bacterial SSU rRNA
Rfam family: Bacterial small subunit ribosomal RNA
Source: RNAcentral